RNAcentral lists this long non-coding RNA (210 nucleotides) under Phoenix dactylifera (date palm). RNAcentral's name for it is "long non-coding RNA (PDAC_LNC011121)". Lineage: Eukaryota; Viridiplantae; Streptophyta; Magnoliopsida; Arecales; Arecaceae. The record is from RNAcentral.
GCCGAAUCCAAAAAAAUAGAAUCACCACGUAUUCCUCUUCUUCCGCUAGCUCCCAGCCUUCCUGUUCUUAUCCACGGGCGAGUUCACAGCAGAGAUCUUCUCAAAUGCCCACAUCUGCUAUCAUUCCCAAAUCUCCCCUGUUCCUUCCCUCCCAUGUCCAAAGAACAGAUUCUUUCUUCCGGAUUUCUCCGCGUCAACAUCCCAACGUCC